GCUCAGGAUGAACGCUAGCUACAGGCUUAACACAUGCAAGUCGAGGGGCAUCAGGAAGAAAGCUUGCUUUCUUUGCUGGCGACCGGCGCACGGGUGAGUAACACGUAUCCAACCUGCCCUUUACUCGGGGAUAGCCUUUCGAAAGAAAGAUUAAUACCCGAUAGCAUAAUGAUUCCGCAUGGUUUCAUUAUUAAAGGAUUCCGGUAAAGGAUGGGGAUGCGUUCCAUUAGGUUGUUGGUGAGGUAACGGCCCACCAAGCCUUCGAUGGAUAGGGGUUCUGAGAGGAAGGUCCCCCACAUUGGAACUGAGACACGGUCCAAACUCCUACGGGAGGCAGCAGUGAGGAAUAUUGGUCAAUGGGCGCUAGCCUGAACCAGCCAAGUAGCGUGAAGGAUGAAGGCUCUAUGGGUCGUAAACUUCUUUUAUAUAAGAAUAAAGUGCAGUAUGUAUACUGUUUUGUAUGUAUUAUAUGAAUAAGGAUCGGCUAACUCCGUGCCAGCAGCCGCGGUAAUACGGAGGAUCCGAGCGUUAUCCGGAUUUAUUGGGUUUAAAGGGAGCGUAGGUGGACUGGUAAGUCAGUUGUGAAAGUUUGCGGCUCAACCGUAAAAUUGCAGUUGAUACUGUCAGUCUUGAGUACAGUAGAGGUGGGCGGAAUUCGUGGUGUAGCGGUGAAAUGCUUAGAUAUCACGAAGAACUCCGAUUGCGAAGGCAGCUCACUGGACUGCAACUGACACUGAUGCUCGAAAGUGUGGGUAUCAAACAGGAUUAGAUACCCUGGUAGUCCACACAGUAAACGAUGAAUACUCGCUGUUUGCGAUAUACAGUAAGCGGCCAAGCGAAAGCAUUAAGUAUUCCACCUGGGGAGUACGCCGGCAACGGUGAAACUCAAAGGAAUUGACGGGGGCCCGCACAAGCGGAGGAACAUGUGGUUUAAUUCGAUGAUACGCGAGGAACCUUACCCGGGCUUAAAUUGCAGUGGAAUGAUGUGGAAACAUGUCAGUGAGCAAUCACCGCUGUGAAGGUGCUGCAUGGUUGUCGUCAGCUCGUGCCGUGAGGUGUCGGCUUAAGUGCCAUAACGAGCGCAACCCUUAUCUUUAGUUACUAACAGGUUAUGCUGAGGACUCUAGAGAGACUGCCGUCGUAAGAUGUGAGGAAGGUGGGGAUGACGUCAAAUCAGCACGGCCCUUACGUCCGGGGCUACACACGUGUUACAAUGGGGGGUACAGAAGGCAGCUAGCGGGUGACCGUAUGCUAAUCCCAAAAUCCUCUCUCAGUUCGGAUCGAAGUCUGCAACCCGACUUCGUGAAGCUGGAUUCGCUAGUAAUCGCGCAUCAGCCACGGCGCGGUGAAUACGUUCCCGGGCCUUGUACACACCGCCCGUCAAGCCAUGGGAGCCGGGGGUACCUGAAGUACGUAACCGCAAGGAUCGUCCUAGGGUAAAACUGG
RNAcentral lists this ribosomal RNA (1446 nucleotides) under uncultured organism. Its description in RNAcentral is "SSU rRNA". It matches the Rfam family "Bacterial small subunit ribosomal RNA". The record is from RNAcentral.